ACAUGCAGCAACACAAGACAAAAAUUCGAAACCCGUUUAGCAUGUUAAGCAUUAGUUACUUUUAUUGGAAACAAAAACACAAACAAACAAAAAACGCCCAAAAUACAUAAUGUUAUUUAAAAAUGCUGGUGGAAAUUAAAACGUUAGGGGUAGGGUGGGGGCUUGGGACUCGCUCCAUCACAAGCAGUUCACUUGCUCACUGCCUCGGCCCAGUGUUACCAGGUGACUCCUUCCACAGCCUCUAGGGCUCUGGAACCCCGGGAGAUCGUGAUUCCGCCGGAGAGCACCCCCUGGUGGCUAGCUCUGAAGAGGCUGUGUCUGAACUGCAGGGCAGGAAAGUAAGGAGGCUGACAGUUGAACACCGGGCCCCUGCCUCCCCCACAGCUGUCACCACUGCACAGAGGAUGGCACUGGAUUGACUGGCAGAAUUCAUCUUCCUCAUGAAGGAGCUGUGACAGGGUUCUCAUCUGGGCUCUGGAGGAGGCCUGGUGACCAGAUGUUCUGGUUCAAGGCCUACUGGAUGGACAGGGCCAGCCAAAGGGCCAGGAUGUCCCAGCAAGGCUUGGGAGAUGUGGGAUGGCCCUCUUCCCAUGCAGCCUCAAACCCUGGACCGGACCCACAGAUUCUGGAAUAUCUGUCAAGACUCUGGGAAGGCUCUGACCUCACAUAGGACAGUGCCUCCCUCACAAUACAGCAACGUCAGUAGAGGAUGGGUGCCAGAUGCCUGCAUCCUGAGAAGUGGGACUGAGAGCUGAGCUUCUAGCAUGAGAAUGCUGCACAAAGCCCGCCCUGGCUGGUCCUGUACUAUGGGCUGGGCUACUCACCUACCGUGCUCUGCAUCACCCAACCCGAUGGAGAGAAAGCUACCAUUAUCUGAGCGAGUUGCCAUUUUACUGGGCUGGAAACAGGCUGAGACUUGCCCAAGGACAUACAGCCUUGUGAGUGGAAAGCCGGAAUGUGCACACUCUCAACCCUGAAGCUAUGCUGUCUCUAAAGGAGGGCAGGGUGGGUUUGCCUGUGUGUGAAGGACGGGUGCAUACUCUGCGAGGAACCCUGGGACCUUUGGUCCUGGGCCCAUCUUCCCAGCCGGGAUUGAGAGUGCUUCUGGCACAGAAGCCCAAUGGAAGAAGGUGGAUGCCAAGGGCUAGAGGAAUGAGGAGGGGAAUCAGUGUUUUGUGGGCAUAGAGUUUCAGUGUGGAAAGAUGAAAAAGCCCUAGAGAUCUGUUGCACAAUGAUGUGAAUAUACCAAACACUUCUGACCUGUACAAUUAAAAUGCUUAAUAUAGUCAA
Molecule: long non-coding RNA, 1290 nt
Organism: Felis catus (domestic cat)
Lineage: Eukaryota; Metazoa; Chordata; Mammalia; Carnivora; Felidae
Exons: 3
Source: RefSeq, a predicted model, not a curated record